GCACUCUGACGUCUUGAAAGCUGGCAGCUCUCUGUUUAGAAAAUCUCUGCCCAGUGAAAAAAUGUACCGACAAGAUUACUAAGUAACACAGUCUUCUGGGAAUGCCUUAUCAAUGCCAGCUAUUUGAAGAGCACCCAAAGUCAAACUAGUGCUCCGCGCUGGCAGUCUGGAAAAGGCAGAUGUAUAAACCAAAAAGGAUGGAGUUCAGAGACCUUCCAUGUUGAUGAACAAGAACACAUUCACCUGCUGUAGGGGUAGGUGUACCCCAAAACUCCACUGAUACAGAAGCUUCUAUACUCAAGACCCUUCUAUACUCAAGACCCUGGAUCUUACCCUAUAUAUCUCUUCAUCUGGCUAUUUAUUUGCAUCUUUUAGUAUAUCCUUUGUAAUAAACUAGUAAUCUAGAAAGUAAACUUUUCCUAGCUCUGUAGGCCAUUCUAGUAAAUGAUUAAACCUGAGGAGGAGUUAUGGGAACCUUUGAUUUGUAGACAAGUUGGACAGAAGUGGUAUAUAUCCUAAUAUAACAUGGGAACCUGCCACUUAUGAUUGGCGUGUGAAAUUGGGGGAUGGGGAAGCAGUCUUGUGGGACUGAGCCCUUAGCCUGUGGGGUCUAAUGCUAUCUUCAGGUAAUAUCAGAACUGAGUUAAAUUAUAGGAUACCAGUCAGUGUCCAUUGGAGAAUUGAAUUAUUGUGAGGAAAAACCCACACAUUUGGUGGCUAAAAGUAUUGAUGUGAGUAGUAGCAUAUAGGAGUUUUUUGCUAUAUACAUAUGUAGUGUAAGUUUAAAGUAAAAAGUUUUGUAUUGUCAGGAGUGACUUCUUUGCACCUAAAUAUCACUGCUAUAACUGCGUUACUAAGGAAUAGUUGCUUGCUUUUAUGUAUUUGGCACCUGCAGCUACUGUUCUAAAAAGUUUGCAUGUGUUAACCUAUUAAUUAAAUCUACAAAUGACUGGCUGUACCCAUG
This 964-nucleotide long non-coding RNA is filed under the name Pan troglodytes (chimpanzee). RNAcentral's name for it is "long non-coding RNA NONPTRT001138". The record is from RNAcentral. Lineage: Eukaryota; Metazoa; Chordata; Mammalia; Primates; Hominidae.